RNAcentral lists this unclassified non-coding RNA (328 nucleotides) under soil metagenome. Its description in RNAcentral is "partial contains 5.8S ribosomal RNA, internal transcribed spacer 2, and large subunit ribosomal RNA". The stretch from base 1 to 120 matches the Rfam family "5.8S ribosomal RNA", at positions 35 to 154 of the family's 154-position model. The record is from RNAcentral.
GAUGAAGAACGCAGCGAAAUGCGAUAAGUGAUGUGAAUUGCAGAAUUCAGUGAAUCAUCGAAUCUUUGAACGCACAUUGCGCCCCUUGGUAUUCCGAGGGGCAUGCCCGUUCGAGCGUCAUUAUACCCCUCAAGCCUAGCUUGGUGUUGGGGCCUGCUGUUACCGGCAGCCCUUAAAAUCAGUGGCGGUGCCAUCUGGCUCUAAGCGUAGUAAUACUUCUCGCUACAGGGUCCCGGUGGAUGCUUGCCAUCAACCCCUAAUUUUCUAUGGUUGACCUCGGAUCGGGUAGGGAUACCCGCUGAACUUAAGCAUAUCAAUAAGCGGAGGA